CAUGAAAAGACUGGGGCUAGGUGAUUUGGGGGCGGGGCGGAGGAAGCAAGCCUAGAAGCCUUCUAUUUUUUCGCUUGCGUCAGGCUUGUGUCCUUCCUCCGCCCCGCCCCCAAAUCACCUAGUCCCAGUCUUUUCAUGU
Non-coding RNA from Paramuricea clavata, 139 nucleotides. Lineage: Eukaryota; Metazoa; Cnidaria; Anthozoa; Malacalcyonacea; Plexauridae. The record is from the annotation of a GenBank genome assembly.